RNAcentral lists this ribosomal RNA (490 nucleotides) under uncultured bacterium. RNAcentral's name for it is "partial 16S ribosomal RNA". It matches the Rfam family "Bacterial small subunit ribosomal RNA", at positions 30 to 507 of the family's 1533-position model. The record is from RNAcentral.
AUUGAACGCUGGCGGCAGGCCUAACACAUGCAAGUCGAACGGUAACAGGAAGAAGCUUGCUUCUUUGCUGACGAGUGGCGGACGGGUGAGUAAUGUCUGGGAAACUGCCUGAUGGAGGGGGAUAACUACUGGAAACGGUAGCUAUUACCGCAUAACGUCGCAAGACCAAAGAGGGGGACCUUCGGGCCCCUUGCCAUCGGAUGUGCCCAGAUGGGAUUAGCUAGUAGGUGGGGUAACGGCUCACCUAGGCGACGAUCCCUAGCUGGUCUGAGAGGAUGACCAGCCACACUGGAACUGAGACACGGUCCAGACUCCUACGGGAGGCAGCAGUGGGGAAUAUUGCACAAUGGGCGCAAGCCUGAUGCAGCCAUGCCGCGUGUAUGAAGAAGGCCUUCGGGUUGUAAAGUACUUUCAGCGGGGAGGAAGGGAGUAAAGUUAAUACCUUUGCUCAUUGACGUUACCCGCAGAAGAAGCACCGGCUAACUCCGUG